CGGAGGAAAAGAAACCAACAGGGAUUACCUCAGUAACGGCGAGUGAAGCGGUAACAGCUCAAAUUUGAAAUCUGGCUCUUUCAGGGUCCGAGUUGUAAUUUGUAGAAGAUGCUUCGGGUGUGGCUCCGGUCUAAGUUCCUUGGAACAGGACGUCAUAGAGGGUGAGAAUCCCGUAUGUGACUGGUUGCCUUCGCCCAUGUGAAGCUCUUUCGACGAGUCGAGUUGUUUGGGAAUGCAGCUCUAAAUGGGUGGUAAAUUUCAUCUAAAGCUAAAUAUUGGCCAGAGACCGAUAGCGCACAAGUAGAGUGAUCGAAAGAUGAAAAGCACUUUGGAAAGAGAGUUAAACAGUACGUGAAAUUGUUGAAAGGGAAGCGCUUGCAACCAGACUUGCACCCCGUCGAUCAUCCCCCGUUCUCGGAGGUGCACUCGGCGGGGUUCAGGCCAGCAUCGGUUUCGGUGGUGGGAUAAAGGCCUUGGGAACGUAGCUCCUCUCGGGGAGUGUUAUAGCCCUCGGUGCAAUGCCGCCUACCGGGACCGAGGACCGCGCUCCGGCUAGGAUGCUGGCGUAAUGGUUGUAAGCGACCCGU
Molecule: ribosomal RNA, 587 nt
Filed under: Cyathicula coronata
Lineage: Eukaryota; Fungi; Ascomycota; Leotiomycetes; Helotiales; Helotiaceae
Description: Crocicreas coronatum partial large subunit ribosomal RNA
Rfam family: Eukaryotic large subunit ribosomal RNA
Source: RNAcentral